This 494-nucleotide long non-coding RNA is filed under the name Capsella grandiflora. Its description in RNAcentral is "long non-coding RNA (CGRA_LNC001078)". The record is from RNAcentral. Lineage: Eukaryota; Viridiplantae; Streptophyta; Magnoliopsida; Brassicales; Brassicaceae.
CCAUUUAUCCAAAUCUGACCUUUUCCCAUUGAGUUCAUGUCUAAGGCCAAUGGUUCAUUGCCUACUGGUGUGUCAAAAGUAGACUGCAAAAAGAUAUGGUAAGAAUCCCAUCGCUUUUAUUUUCUCAUCAUAUUAAUAUAACAGGUUGGUGGCAUGAUUCAUCAAUCCUUCUGUUUCUCUUACCUUGUACCAGGUCAAGGGUUGCUUUUCGACCACCAAUGGUCCUGCUUUCCAUUCCACGGUGGAGCUCCCGGUUACGGUAUGAAUGCUCAGAGCUUCACCCUUUGUACCAAUCUGCUUGAAACACAAAAGAACACAAAAUUUUAUUUCACUGUUAUGAUGGUUGGUAAGAUGGGGGUAACAGGGAAGUCAAACUCGUUUCUCUGGAUUUUCAGGAGGACCUUGUAAGACCAUUUCCAUUUAGACAUGUCCCAUGUUCCAGAGUUAACUCCCUUCAGUGUCACUGGACCAAGAACUCCAGUAUUCCAAGUCUC